GCUUAACACAUGCAAGUCGAGGGGCAGCAUGGUCUUAGCUUGCUAAGGCCGAUGGCGACCGGCGCACGGGUGAGUAACACGUAUCCAACCUGCCGUCUACUCUUGGACAGCCUUCUGAAAGGAAGAUUAAUACAAGAUGGCAUCAUGAGUCCGCAUGUUCACAUGAUUAAAGGUAUUCCGGUAGACGAUGGGGAUGCGUUCCAUUAGAUAGUAGGCGGGGUAACGGCCCACCUAGUCUUCGAUGGAUAGGGGUUCUGAGAGGAAGGUCCCCCACAUUGGAACUGAGACACGGUCCAAACUCCUACGGGAGGCAGCAGUGAGGAAUAUUGGUCAAUGGGCGAGAGCCUGAACCAGCCAAGUAGCGUGAAGGAUGACUGCCCUAUGGGUUGUAAACUUCUUUUAUAAAGGAAUAAAGUCGGGUAUGGAUACCCGUUUGCAUGUACUUUAUGAAUAAGGAUCGGCUAACUCCGUGCCAGCAGCCGCGGUAAUACGGAGGAUCCGAGCGUUAUCCGGAUUUAUUGGGUUUAAAGGGAGCGUAGAUGGAUGUUUAAGUCAGUUGUGAAAGUUUGCGGCUCAACCGUAAAAUUGCAGUUGAUACUGGAUAUCUUGAGUGCAGUUGAGGCAGGCGGAAUUCGUGGUGUAGCGGUGAAAUGCUUAGAUAUCACGAAGAACUCCGAUUGCGAAGGCAGCCUGCUAAGCUGCAACUGACAUUGAGGCUCGAAAGUGUGGGUAUCAAACAGGAUUAGAUACCCUGGUAGUCCACACGGUAAACGAUGAAUACUCGCUGUUUGCGAUAUACAGCAAGCGGCCAAGCGAAAGCGUUAAGUAUUCCACCUGGGGAGUACGCCGGCAACGGUGAAACUCAAAGGAAUUGACGGGGGCCCGCACAAGCGGAGGAACAUGUGGUUUAAUUCGAUGAUACGCGAGGAACCUUACCCGGGCUUAAAUUGCAGAUGAAUUACGGUGAAAGCCGUAAGCCGCAAGGCAUCUGUGAAGGUGCUGCAUGGUUGUCGUCAGCUCGUGCCGUGAGGUGUCGGCUUAAGUGCCAUAACGAGCGCAACCCUUGUUGUCAGUUACUAACAGGUUCCGCUGAGGACUCUGACAAGACUGCCAUCGUAAGAUGUGAGGAAGGUGGGGAUGACGUCAAAUCAGCACGGCCCUUACGUCCGGGGCUACACACGUGUUACAAUGGGGGGUACAGAGGGCCGCUACCACGCGAGUGGAUGCCAAUCCCCAAAACCUCUCUCAGUUCGGACUGGAGUCUGCAACCCGACUCCACGAAGCUGGAUUCGCUAGUAAUCGCGCAUCAGCCACGGCGCGGUGAAUACGUUCCCGGGCCUUGUACACACCGCCCGUCAAGCCAUGGGAGCCGGGGGUACCUGAAGUGCGUAACCGCGAGGAGCGCCCUAGGGUAAAACUGGUGACUGGGGCUAAGUCAUA
Molecule: ribosomal RNA, 1440 nt
Filed under: uncultured organism
Description: SSU rRNA
Rfam family: Bacterial small subunit ribosomal RNA
Source: RNAcentral